Molecule: long non-coding RNA, 697 nt
Organism: Labeo rohita (rohu)
Lineage: Eukaryota; Metazoa; Chordata; Actinopteri; Cypriniformes; Cyprinidae
Exons: 7
Source: RefSeq, a predicted model, not a curated record
CCCCUACGUCGCAGAAGCACAACGGCUGAAGACUCAACGUGUGUUUGCAGAGGAUCUAUUUCGGUAAAAUCAAGAAUACCAGUUGAUGACUGCUGUGCAGUGGAAAUAUCGAUCAUCUUGAUAAAACCUCAGUAUAUCAUCAGGAGCAACAGGCCACAUUUUCAGCUAAAAAUCUUCUUUGCUGUUCUGCUGAAGAAAAAUACUCAUGAACAUCUUGGGUGGCGUAAGGAUCUUUGCAGGAUUCAGUCGCAUAUCUCGGAUCUGAGUUCUGCGCAGCACUGGACACAGACUCUGCACUUUUGACAUUUUCUAGAAAAAAAGGAUUUUAAAUUUCACAUCAAGUUAAUUAAAAGUCAUCUGAUGUUUCCACUGCAGUACUUCAGGGCCUUUCAGUCAUCCUGGAGGAUGACCCACAGGAAUUUUACAGGAUGUGUUUCGAUGUGGAUGCAGACUUCAGUCAAGCAGUUGUAGACCUGCUCACAGUUCUACCAGAGGACAUGCCCUCAUUGUGGAUGCAAUAAAGGCAAUCAUGGAGGGAAGAAUUGUCAUGAAUGGGUUUUAAAGGCCUGUAUUUUAUUUUUGCUGUUCUGUUUGCAUGCCAUUCUGAAAAUGCUCUAUUGUUUAACAGUGUUCCAGUGGGUCCAGAUAAUGUUAUGACAACAAAGUGCUGUUUAGUUAAGAAGUCUGUAAAGAGUAU